This 392-nucleotide long non-coding RNA is filed under the name Elaeis guineensis (African oil palm). RNAcentral describes it as "long non-coding RNA (EGUI_LNC043859)". Lineage: Eukaryota; Viridiplantae; Streptophyta; Magnoliopsida; Arecales; Arecaceae. The record is from RNAcentral.
CUGACUUCUCCUACUUGUGCAACCCUGCACCCUAACUAGUGGGUUCAAGUGAUUGUGUCCAACCACCUAGUGAAGGACAAUGCAAUACUAGAAUUUUAUCAUUUUUGGGUUUGUUAAAACUUUGUCUAUUUUGGAUUGGUAUCGAAAAAUAGAACCAUGGAUCUAUGACCAACCUUUCUAUGAUGGCCAAAUUGAUAAGUCGUCCUACAUGUCCAUGCUUGAAAUCUAGCUAUCUAAACUUCUAAGCACCAACCCUUGCACGUGUUCAAAGAUGAGGAAUUCAUUAAUCUACAACUGGGAGCGAGGCACUUUGAACACCUAGUGGAAGAGUCUUAUGACCCAUCUAUUUUGUUCUCUUUUUGACUUUUGGAGGCCAAGUGGCUCCAGCAGGA